UUCAAUUUGGCAGAAAAAUGCAAUAAAUUUAGAAUUUAUUAAUGAAUUUCAGUUUAAAUUCAAUUGAAA
RNAcentral lists this transfer RNA (69 nucleotides) under Hyalomma truncatum. RNAcentral's name for it is "tRNA-Leu". The record is from RNAcentral. Lineage: Eukaryota; Metazoa; Arthropoda; Arachnida; Ixodida; Ixodidae.